Molecule: ribosomal RNA, 895 nt
Filed under: Microbispora sp.
Lineage: Bacteria; Bacillati; Actinomycetota; Actinomycetes; Streptosporangiales; Streptosporangiaceae
Description: bacterial SSU rRNA
Rfam family: Bacterial small subunit ribosomal RNA
Source: RNAcentral
CAUGUCAGUCGAGCGGAAAGGCCCUUCGGGGUACUCGAGCGGCGAACGGGUGAGUAACACGUGAGUAACCUGCCCCUGACUCUGGGAUAAGCCUGGGAAACCGGGUCUAAUACCGGAUACGACCAUUUCUCGCAUGUGAUGGUGGUGGAAAGUUUUUUCGGUUGGGGAUGGGCUCGCGGCCUAUCAGCUUGUUGGUGGGGUGAUGGCCUACCAAGGCGACGACGGGUAGCCGGCCUGAGAGGGCGACCGGCCACACUGGGACUGAGACACGGCCCAAACUCCUACGGGAGGCAGCAGUGGGGAAUAUUGCGCAAUGGGCGGAAGCCUGACGCAGCGACGCCGCGUGGGGGAUGACGGCCUUCGGGUUGUAAACCUCUUUCAGCAGGGACGAAGUUGACGUGUACCUGUAGAAGAAGCGCCGGCUAACUACGUGCCAGCAGCCGCGGUAAUACGUAGGGCGCGAGCGUUGUCCGGAAUUAUUGGGCGUAAAGAGCUCGUAGGUGGCUUGUCGCGUCUGCCGUGAAAGCCCGUGGCUUAACUACGGGUCUGCGGUGGAUACGGGCAGGCUAGAGGCUGGUAGGGGCAAGCGGAAUUCCUGGUGUAGCGGUGAAAUGCGCAGAUAUCAGGAGGAACACCGGUGGCGAAGGCGGCUUGCUGGGCCAGUUCUGACGCUGAGGAGCGAAAGCGUGGGGAGCGAACAGGAUUAGAUACCCUGGUAGUCCACGCUGUAAACGUUGGGCGCUAGGUGUGGGGGUCUUCCACGAUCUCUGUGCCGUAGCUAACGCAUUAAGCGCCCCGCCUGGGGAGUACGGCCGCAAGGCUAAAACUCAAAGGAAUUGACGGGGGCCCGCACAAGCGGCGGAGCAUGUUGCUUAAUUCGACGCAACGCGAAGAA